Molecule: long non-coding RNA, 11303 nt
Organism: Chelonia mydas (Green sea turtle)
Lineage: Eukaryota; Metazoa; Chordata; Testudines; Cheloniidae
Exons: 8
Source: RefSeq, a predicted model, not a curated record
UUUGUCCUUUUGACAUUAUGCUCCGUUAGCUGGCUAGUGAGAGUGACUGCCCUGUAAUCAGGGUGCAAGUCACCUCCCCCUCGCUUUCGAGGGACAUUGAGCUCUUUGGUAACUUGAGCAAUGUGACCGCCCUGUAACUAGGGUCCGGCUCUCUGCCCACUUGCUCAUGUGGCAUUACGCCUUGUUGUAGCCCUGUAGUCGGGAUGACAACCCUGUAAUCAGGGUGCAAGUCAUAUUCCUUUUGCUUCUGGGAGAUACUGAGCUCUUUGGAACCCUGAGCAGGGUGACUCACCUCCCUGUAAUUCGGAGUCAGGUCUCUGCCAUCUUGCUGUUUUGCCAUCAUGCCCUGCUGAGAGUCUACUCACUGUGACCACCUGUAAUUCAGGUGCGUGUCACAAGUUUCUGUAGUAUGGGAUAUACUGAGCCCUUUGAUACCUUGUGGGGCGUGACCGCCCUGUAAUUCGGGGUCGGGUCUCUGCCUUUUUGCUCCCUGGCUUUAUGCACCUUUAUCUUUCUAAUCGGAAAGACCACACCGUAAUUAGGGUGCAGGUCGAAACCCUCUCAUUUAUCAGGGAUUAGGGUUAUUUUAGGGCCCUUCGGAGCAUGACCGCCCUGUAAUCGGGGUUCAGGUCUCAAGUUGUCUUCUCUGAUUAUGCUCUUUAAUUCAGCUAGUCAGAGUGACCACCUUGUAAUCAGGGUGAGAGUCACAAUCUCCUCGCUUACGGGAGCUACUGAUGUCUUUGUUACUUGAGCCGGGUGACCUCCCUGUUACUAGGGUUCAGGUCUCUGCCCUUUGCUCUUCUGGGAUUGCGUCUUGUUCUCAGCCUGGUCAGUACGACUGCCCUGUAAUUAGGGUGCAGGUCAUGCGCCUCUUAUUUAGGGAGGACUAGGUUCCCCUUAAUGCGUUGGGCUGAGUGACCACCUGUAAGUAGGGUUCAGGUCUCCCCCUUUUCUCUUACUUGUGAUGGAUUUUCCGUUAAUCGGGUAGCCCGAUGGACCGCCCUGUAAGAAGGGUUCAGGUCCUUUCCCCUGUGGCUCCUUUGGGUUGUUGGGCUACUCACUUUGACCCCACCCUGUAAUCAGGGUGCAGGUCUUGUCCCUUUUCCCUUUGGUUUUUUGAGGGGAGGAAGAUUGGUCGAGUUUAACACUGUGGGUCGAGUGACCUCUUUCGAUGAGCUCUCUUUCUGUUCUGGGAAGUCCCCCUUUGUUUUGUACGGAUGUGUUUGUGAGAGCACGUGAUAGAAGUGGGUGUGCAAGCUUUUUAAUUUUUAGUUAUUUAUUUUUAUUUUUUUAAGUUAAAUCGCUGCAGCACUUUUUCUUUACUCUUCUCAGAAUCGGAAAAAGAGCUCAAAGUGUAUUAAUGUUUUUAUCCUCCUCCUCCCCACAAAAGGGAAGAGUAAGGGCUCAGUUGUCAUCUUUUAGUGCCGUGGACAGUGUGACCUCCCUGUAAACAGGGAUCUGGUCUCUCCAUUUUGGCUGAGUUCCAUUUAGUGGGCUGAUGACAAUGACUGGCCUUUAAGGAGGCGGAUUUAGCUCAGGUGCCUGUGACUCACAGGAAGUACAGCAUGCCUUAGUACUUGGGCAGCAUGGCCACCCUGUAUCGAGGGUUCAGGUCUCUGCCCUUUGUUCUUUUGCCACCCUGCUACUUCAGCCGGUUGGUUUGAGUCCUGACCUUGUAAUUAAGGGAUUGUCUGUGUCCUUCUGCCUUCUGGGGGAUAUUGAGCUCUGUGGAACCCUGAGCAGUCUGACCGCCCUGUAACUAGGGUUCAGGUCUCUGCCACUUGCUUAUUUGGCAUUAGGCCAUGCUCUGGUCAACUAGUCAGCGGGACAACCCUGUCAUUAGGGUACAUGUCACAAAUAUCUAUAGAAUGGGACAUAUUGAGCCUUUUGGUACUUUGAGGAGCUUGACCUUCCUGUAAUUCAGGUUACGGUCUCUGCUGUUUGGCUAAUCCCUGUGACCACCCUGUAAUCAGGGUACAGGUUGCAUCUCUCUUUUGAAAUCUUAUGGAAUUGGAACCAUUUCAGUAACAUGGGCAGUUUGACCUCCCUGUAACUAGGGUUUGAGUCUUGGAGGCCCUUUGGGGCUCUUGGCAUUGUGCUUUCUUCACAGCCUGAGGCGAGGGACCGCCCUGUAAUCAGGGCUCUGGUCUUUGCCCUCUAGUCUCUUGGCACUAGGUCAAGUGCAGCCCACUGAUCUGAAUGAGCACCCUGUAAACAGGGUACAGGUCUCAUCAGACACUAUUUAUGGUGCCCCCAUGAGACUGUGUCCAGAGUCCUGGCCCUUUGCACUGCGCUUUCAACUUGCCUGGAAUUGUGCAGCCAAGUCUCCUGCUUUCUGCUCCGCUUACUGUGCUCUUGGAGACCCGAGCUCCUGCUGCUGUUGCUGACAGCUCGAAGCACAAGUGGCCAAGAAGGAAGUGUCAGGAAUGUCAAGCAAAGAAGAGUACAGAGGACAAGUCACUGAAGAUGGAGGAGAAGGAAAGGGACUCUGGGCGCAGUGACCUCUCUGUAUCAGGCCUCAGGUCAUGUAAUUACACUGUACGGAGAUCUCGAGCCUUUUAAUACCUUGAGCAGCGUGACCGCCCUGUAAGCAGGGUCCAGGCCUGUGCUGUUUUGUCCUUUUGACAUUAUGCUCCGUUAGCUGGCUAGUGAGAGUGACUGCCCUGUAAUCAGGGUGCAAGUCACCUCCCCCUCGCUUUCGAGGGACAUUGAGCUCUUUGGUAACUUGAGCAAUGUGACCGCCCUGUAACUAGGGUCCGGCUCUCUGCCCACUUGCUCAUGUGGCAUUACGCCUUGUUGUAGCCCUGUAGUCGGGAUGACAACCCUGUAAUCAGGGUGCAAGUCAUAUUCCUUUUGCUUCUGGGAGAUACUGAGCUCUUUGGAACCCUGAGCAGGGUGACUCACCUCCCUGUAAUUCGGAGUCAGGUCUCUGCCAUCUUGCUGUUUUGCCAUCAUGCCCUGCUGAGAGUCUACUCACUGUGACCACCUGUAAUUCAGGUGCGUGUCACAAGUUUCUGUAGUAUGGGAUAUACUGAGCCCUUUGAUACCUUGUGGGGCGUGACCGCCCUGUAAUUCGGGGUCGGGUCUCUGCCUUUUUGCUCCCUGGCUUUAUGCACCUUUAUCUUUCUAAUCGGAAAGACCACACCGUAAUUAGGGUGCAGGUCGAAACCCUCUCAUUUAUCAGGGAUUAGGGUUAUUUUAGGGCCCUUCGGAGCAUGACCGCCCUGUAAUCGGGGUUCAGGUCUCAAGUUGUCUUCUCUGAUUAUGCUCUUUAAUUCAGCUAGUCAGAGUGACCACCUUGUAAUCAGGGUGAGAGUCACAAUCUCCUCGCUUACGGGAGCUACUGAUGUCUUUGUUACUUGAGCCGGGUGACCUCCCUGUUACUAGGGUUCAGGUCUCUGCCCUUUGCUCUUCUGGGAUUGCGUCUUGUUCUCAGCCUGGUCAGUACGACUGCCCUGUAAUUAGGGUGCAGGUCAUGCGCCUCUUAUUUAGGGAGGACUAGGUUCCCCUUAAUGCGUUGGGCUGAGUGACCACCCUGUAAGUAGGGUUCAGGUCUCCCCCUUUUCUCUUACUUGUGAUGGAUUUUCCGUUAAUCGGGUAGCCCGAUGGACCGCCCUGUAAGAAGGGUUCAGGUCCUUUCCCCUGUGGCUCCUUUGGGUUGUUGGGCUACUCACUUUGACCCCACCCUGUAAUCAGGGUGCAGGUCUUGUCCCUUUUCCCUUUGGUUUUUUGAGGGGAGGAAGAUUGGUCGAGUUUAACACUGUGGGUCGAGUGACCUCUUUCGAUGAGCUCUCUUUCUGUUCUGGGAAGUCCCCCUUUGUUUUGUACGGAUGUGUUUGUGAGAGCACGUGAUAGAAGUGGGUGUGCAAGCUUUUUAAUUUUUAGUUAUUUAUUUUUAUUUUUUUAAGUUAAAUCGCUGCAGCACUUUUUCUUUACUCUUCUCAGAAUCGGAAAAAGAGCUCAAAGUGUAUUAAUGUUUUUAUCCUCCUCCUCCCCACAAAAGGGAAGAGUAAGGGCUCAGUUGUCAUCUUUUAGUGCCGUGGACAGUGUGACCUCCCUGUAAACAGGGAUCUGGUCUCUCCAUUUUGGCUGAGUUCCAUUUAGUGGGCUGAUGACAAUGACUGGCCUUUAAGGAGGCGGAUUUAGCUCAGGUGCCUGUGACUCACAGGAAGUACAGCAUGCCUUAGUACUUGGGCAGCAUGGCCACCCUGUAUCGAGGGUUCAGGUCUCUGCCCUUUGUUCUUUUGCCACCCUGCUACUUCAGCCGGUUGGUUUGAGUCCUGACCUUGUAAUUAAGGGAUUGUCUGUGUCCUUCUGCCUUCUGGGGGAUAUUGAGCUCUGUGGAACCCUGAGCAGUCUGACCGCCCUGUAACUAGGGUCCGGCUCUCUGCCCACUUGCUCGUCUGGCAGUACGCCGUACACUGGCCGACUAGUCAGCGUGACAGCCCUGUCGUUUGGGUGCCUGUCACAAGUAUCUAUAGAAUGGGACAUAUUGAGCCUUUUGGUACUUUGAGGAGCUUGACCUUCCUGUAAUUUAGGUUAUGGUCUCUGCUGUUUGGCUAAUCCCUGUGACCACCCUGUAAUCAGGGUACAGGUUGCAUCUCUCUUUUGAAAUCUUUGGAAUUGGAACCAUUUCAGUAACAUGGGCAGUUUGACCUCCCUGUAACUAGGGUUUGAGUCUUGGAGGCCCUUUGGGGCUCUUGGCAUUGUGCUUUCUUCACAGCCUGAGGCGAGGGACCGCCCUGUAAUCAGGGCUCUGGUCUUUGCCCUCUAGUCUCUUGGCACUAGGUCAAGUGCAGCCCACUGAUCUGAAUGAGCACCCUGUAAACAGGGUACAGGUCUCAUCAGACACUAUUUAUGGUGCCCCCAUGAGACUGUGUCCAGAGUCCUGGCCCUUUGCACUGCUCUUUCAACUUGCCUGGAAUUGUGCAGCCAAGUCUCCUGCUUUCUGCUCCGCUUACUGUGCUCUUGGAGACCCGAGCUCCUGCUGCUGUUGCUGACAGCUCGAAGCACAAGUGGCCAAGAAGGAAGUGUCAGGAAUGUCAAGCAAAGAAGAGUACAGAGGACAAGUCACUGAAGAUGGAGGAGAAGGAAAGGGACUCUGGGCGCAGUAACCUCUCUGUAUCAGGCCUCAGGUCAUGUAAUUACACUGUACGGAGAUCUCGAGCCUUUUAAUACCUUGAGCAGCGUGACCGCCCUGUAAGCAGGGUCCAGGCCUGUGCUGUUUUGUCCUUUUGACAUUAUGCUCCGUUAGCUGGCUAGUGAGAGUGACUGCCCUGUAAUCAGGGUGCAAGUCACCUCCCCCUCGCUUUCGAGGGACAUUGAGCUCUUUGGUAACUUGAGCAAUGUGACCGCCCUGUAACUAGGGUCCGGCUCUCUGCCCACUUGCUCGUCUGGCAGUACGCCGUACACUGGCCGACUAGUCAGCGUGACAGCCCUGUCGUUUGGGUGCCUGUCACAAGUAUCUAUAGAAUGGGACAUAUUGAGCCUUUUGGUACUUUGAGGAGCUUGACCUUCCUGUAAUUCAGGUUACGGUCUCUGCUGUUUGGCUAAUCCCUGUGACCACCCUGUAAUCAGGGUACAGGUUGCAUCUCUCUUUUGAAAUCUUUGGAAUUGGAACCAUUUCAGUAACAUGGGCAGUUUGACCUCCCUGUAACUAGGGUUUGAGUCUUGGAGGCCCUUUGGGGCUCUUGGCAUUGUGCUUUCUUCACAGCCUGAGGCGAGGGACCGCCCUGUAAUCAGGGCUCUGGUCUUUGCCCUCUAGUCUCUUGGCACUAGGUCAAGUGCAGCCCACUGAUCUGAAUGAGCACCCUGUAAACAGGGUACAGGUCUCAUCAGACACUAUUUAUGGUGCCCCCAUGAGACUGUGUCCAGAGUCCUGGCCCUUUGCACUGCGCUUUCAACUUGCCUGGAAUUGUGCAGCCAAGUCUCCUGCUUUCUGCUCCGCUUACUGUGCUCUUGGAGACCCGAGCUCCUGCUGCUGUUGCUGACAGCUCGAAGCACAAGUGGCCAAGAAGCAAGUGUCAGGAAUGUCAAGCAAAGAAGAGUACAGAGGACAAGUCACUGAAGAUGGAGGAGAAGGAAAGGGACUCUGGGCGCAGUAACCUCUCUGUAUCAGGCCUCAGGUCAUGUAAUUACACUGUACGGAGAUCUCGAGCCUUUUAAUACCUUGAGCAGCGUGACCGCCCUGUAAGCAGGGUCCAGGCCUGUGCUGUUUUGUCCUUUUGACAUUAUGCUCCGUUAGCUGGCUAGUGAGAGUGACUGCCCUGUAAUCAGGGUGCAAGUCACCUCCCCCUCGCUUUCGAGGGACAUUGAGCUCUUUGGUAACUUGAGCAAUGUGACCGCCCUGUAACUAGGGUCCGGCUCUCUGCCCACUUGCUCGUCUGGCAGUACGCCGUACACUGGCCGACUAGUCAGCGUGACAGCCCUGUCGUUUGGGUGCCUGUCACAAGUAUCUAUAGAAUGGGACAUAUUGAGCCUUUUGGUACUUUGAGGAGCUUGACCUUCCUGUAAUUCAGGUUACGGUCUCUGCUGUUUGGCUAAUCCCUGUGACCACCCUGUAAUCAGGGUACAGGUUGCAUCUCUCUUUUGAAAUCUUUGGAAUUGGAACCAUUUCAGUAACAUGGGCAGUUUGACCUCCCUGUAACUAGGGUUUGAGUCUUGGAGGCCCUUUGGGGCUCUUGGCAUUGUGCUUUCUUCACAGCCUGAGGCGAGGGACCGCCCUGUAAUCAGGGCUCUGGUCUUUGCCCUCUAGUCUCUUGGCACUAGGUCAAGUGCAGCCCACUGAUCUGAAUGAGCACCCUGUAAACAGGGUACAGGUCUCAUCAGACACUAUUUAUGGUGCCCCCAUGAGACUGUGUCCAGAGUCCUGGCCCUUUGCACUGCGCUUUCAACUUGCCUGGAAUUGUGCAGCCAAGUCUCCUGCUUUCUGCUCCGCUUACUGUGCUCUUGGAGACCCGAGCUCCUGCUGCUGUUGCUGACAGCUCGAAGCACAAGUGGCCAAGAAGCAAGUGUCAGGAAUGUCAAGCAAAGAAGAGUACAGAGGACAAGUCACUGAAGAUGGAGGAGAAGGAAAGGGACUCUGGGCGCAGUAACCUCUCUGUAUCAGGCCUCAGGUCAUGUAAUUACACUGUACGGAGGUCUCGAGCCUUUUAAUACCUUGAGCAGCGUGACCGCCCUGUAAGCAGGGUCCAGGCCUGUGCUGUUUUGUCCUUUUGACAUUAUGCUCCGUUAGCUGGCUAGUGAGAGUGACUGCCCUGUAAUCAGGGUGCAAGUCACCUCCCCCUCGCUUUCGAGGGACAUUGAGCUCUUUGGUAACUUGAGCAAUGUGACCGCCCUGUAACUAGGGUCCGGCUCUCUGCCCACUUGCUCGUCUGGCAGUACGCCGUACACUGGCCGACUAGUCAGCGUGACAGCCCUGUCGUUUGGGUGCCUGUCACAAGUAUCUAUAGAAUGGGACAUAUUGAGCCUUUUGGUACUUUGAGGAGCUUGACCUUCCUGUAAUUCAGGUUACGGUCUCUGCUGUUUGGCUAAUCCCUGUGACCACCCUGUAAUCAGGGUACAGGUUGCAUCUCUCUUGAAAUCUUAUGGAAUUGGAACCAUUUCAGUAACAUGGGCAGUUUGACCUCCCUGUAACUAGGGUUUGAGUCUCGGAGGCCCUUUGGGGCUCUUGGCAUUGUGCUUUCUUCACAGCCUGAGGCGAGGGACCGCCCUGUAAUCAGGGCUCUGGUCUUUGCCCUCUAGUCUCUUGGCACUAGGUCAAGUGCAGCCCACUGAUCUGAAUGAGCACCCUGUAAACAGGGUACAGGUCUCAUCAGACACUAUUUAUGGUGCCCCCAUGAGACUGUGUCCAGAGUCCUGGCCCUUUGCACUGCGCUUUCAACUUGCCUGGAAUUGUGCAGCCAAGUCUCCUGCUUUCUGCUCCGCUUACUGUGCUCUUGGAGACCUGAGCUCCUGCUGCUGUUGCUGACAGCUCGAAGCACAAGUGGCCAAGAAGGAAGUGUCAGGAAUGUCAAGCAAAGAAGAGUACAGAGGACAAGUCACUGAAGAUGGAGGAGAAGGAAAGGGACUCUGGGCACAGUAACCUCCCUGUAAUCAGACCUCAGGUCAUGUAGUGACACUCUACAGGGAUCUCGAGCUUUUUAAUCCCUUGAGCAGCGUGACCGCCCUGUAAGCAGGGACCAGGUCUGUGCUGUUUUGUCCUUUUGACAUUAUGUUCCACUUGCUGGCUAGUGAGAGUGACUGCCCUGUAAUCAGGGUGCAAGUCACCUCCCCCUCGCUUUCGAGGGACAUUGAGCUCUUUGGUAACUUGAGCAAUGUGACCGCCCUGUAACUAGGGUCCGGCUCUCUGCCCACUUGCUCGUCUGGCAGUACGCCGUACACUGGCCGACUAGUCAGCGUGACAGCCCUGUCGUUUGGGUGCCUGUCACAAGUAUCUAUAGAAUGGGACAUAUUGAGCCUUUUGGUACUUUGAGGAGCUUGACCUUCCUGUAAUUUAGGUUAUGGUCUCUGCUGUUUGGCUAAUCCCUGUGACCACCCUGUAAUCAGGGUACAGGUUGCAUCUCUCUUUUGAAAUCUUAUGGAAUUGGAACCAUUUCAGUAACAUGGGCAGUUUGACCUCCCUGUAACUAGGGUUUGAGUCUUGGAGGCCCUUUGGGGCUCUUGGCAUUGUGCUUUCUUCACAGCCUGAGGCGAGGGACCGCCCUGUAAUCAGGGCUCUGGUCUUUGCCCUCUAGUCUCUUGGCACUAGGUCAAGUGCAGCCCACUGAUCUGAAUGAGCACCCUGUAAACAGGGUACAGGUCUCAUCAGACACUAUUUAUGGUGCCCCCAUGAGACUGUGUCCAGAGUCCUGGCCCUUUGCACUGCGCUUUCAACUUGCCUGGAAUUGUGCAGCCAAGUCUCCUGCUUUCUGCUCCGCUUACUGUGCUCUUGGAAACCCAACCUCCAGCUGCUGUUGCUGCAUUGCAAGUCUGCUGUAACUGUCUUGCACGCCCUUUACAUCCUCUUAAGAAGAAUGGGACAAAACAGAAGCACCCAACCGAAAAACGAGAAAAGAGACGCUAACAGCCUGUGAAGAAGAAGAAAGGAAACAAAUUCUGAGAGCAAAUGUAGUUGUGUGAUCUAUUUCAAAGGUUUAUACCAUGUCCAGCACCAUGGCAUAUGAGUGCAUUGGAAAGAUAAAUUGAACAAAGUGACUCGCAUCUGUCACCUUUCAAAUGCUGAUUUAUGUUAAUAGGCAAUAUACAACAAACUCUGAAGCUCAAUUACUUGUGGCACCACAGCAUAGCCUGAAGACUGGAUAACAAUUUCCUGCUAUGACCUUUCAGUUCUGUAACUACCUGUGCCACAUGAGAACUGAUGUAUCAUCUUAUUUUAUAAUCAUGUAUGUCCUCUCUAAUUGUCUUUUAUUAAUGAGUCCAUAAAGCAUGCUUUGUACAUCAUACUUUCACAUUCUAGUAGAAAAGUGGGAUGUAUUUUUUAUUUAAUUAAUCUUUAUAAUUCUUUGACGAGUCAUUUUCAUGUCAUUGCUUAGUGAUUUGGACUUCUGUUUAGCAAGAAGUCAGUUUUAUUUCCUUAAAGUCACUGUAAGCUACAACAAGUUGUUCAAAGCUGAAAAACUGUUUGAAAAAGAUGGAAGAAAACCGAGAUGUAGGGUGGCCACCCUGAAGAGUGUUGGAAAACCUUUUUCAAUAGGCACACUAUUCACCUUUCUCCUUUUUCUCAGCCCAUUUUUUAUACCAAAACAGUACCAUAGCAAUGAUACCAUAUGGAAUGAUACUAAGUUUCUACCUAUCGCCAAUUAGAAAUUGUCAGUACAACUGGUUAUUUGCAUCUAAGUGUUGAUUUUAUGUAGAUAUGUAACCAAAUAUUUUAGAAAUAUUUUAACAAGGUGACUACCUGAUUUUAUGUAAAAGAGUUACACACAUCUUAGAAAAUGUGUUCCUUUGACUUAAGUGUGUGACUUUUACAUAGUUGGGCGACUAAUGCUUUUGUACUUAUUGUUUUUACUAACAGGUUUGUCACUAGGCACAAAGGAAUAAUUGUGAAUCUGUAAUGCAGAGAUUUUAAACACACAAGCACUUCUAUUAUUAAGAAAUAAAUCAUAAUUUCCUGCUGGAAAUGCAAAGAUGUAACUGAAGGGAGGCAUGUGUUUGUAUUCUCCACUUACCCCAAGCUCCCCUCAAAAAAACUCUUCAAAAAAGUUAAUGUUGAAAAGAUUAACAUUUACUCCAGAUACUGUCUAACUUCAUAUUUUUAAAGCUCUGUAUCUCUCACGCAUCGCUAAAAACAAGCAACCAAAACUAAAUGUUGUUCUGGAAACUGGCAGUUAUUCCCCGCACUUCACAACUUUCAAACACCUACUCUACUUCAACGGUCACACCGACCAAACUGUACCACACAUUCAAUUUUAACUUUGCACCUAUUGUGUCAGAACAGUUAGAGUAUUUUUUGGUAGUUGUGUAUAUUGAUGUACGUGGUAAUAGUGGUGUUUUAAUGGAUUUUUAUGCUUAUUGAAUUAAGUGGAUCCUUGAGGAUGAUGAUAUGGAUGUUUUAGGUAGGUAUUUUUCUGUGAAGUGUUAGUAUUUUUGAAGAGGCGCAGUAUUUUGUGAUGAUGACUGUUUCUCGGGUAUUGGUUUACAGUGAAUUGUUGAAAAUCUUAGAUGUUUUUGCAUUUGUAUAUUAUUAGAUGUACUUAGGGUGCAAAGUUGAGGUUGCCUGUUUGGUGCAAUUUUAUUGGUGUGAAAGUUAAUUUAGGGUAGGUGUUUGAAAGCACUGAAGUUUGAAUUUUAAGCUCAACAGGGAUCCAGGACCUACCUGGCUACCUCAGUUCUUACCGUCAUUACUAAUUCCAAAAUCUGGGAUGAAGAUGACCCAGCAAAAUAAAGAUAUCUUUAGAGAUUUUCAAAAGUUAACAUUUCUUCAGCUGUUGGAGGUCACUAAAACCUUAUUGAGCUUUUUGAAGUGCAAUAACUGGAAAACUUUUUACUUCUAUUUCUGCCAGUUAAGUGUUGAACAAUGACCUUUAUUAAAAGAUUUACACUGGUAAUUAAUUCUGUUCUGUACUAAGAUCUUGCUAAUAUCACCAUUUUAUGAUGUAUGAAGUGAAUUAACUAGAUUUGAUUAUACCUACUUGAUAAAUAUUGGAAUAUUGCAUGUUAAAUUCAUACAUUUAACUUUGACUGUCAUAUCAACUUACUUUGCUUUCUGUAACUCUUUGUUUAUUAAUAUAUUUAUUAAUAGUUAUGUAAUUAAAUUAAUAAAAUAUAUAAAUUCAGGUGUAGUCUCAGUUCUGUCUUUGGCU